Molecule: ribosomal RNA, 374 nt
Filed under: uncultured eukaryote
Lineage: Eukaryota
Description: partial 18S ribosomal RNA
Rfam family: Eukaryotic small subunit ribosomal RNA
Source: RNAcentral
UAAUAGUGUAUAUUAAAGUUGUUGCAGUUAAAAAGCUCGUAGUUGAAUGUUGGUGUCGAACGAGCGGUCAGCUUCGGCUGUACUGCUCUCUCGACUCCUUCCUUCUGUGGACUACGUCGCACUUUACUGUGUGGCGCUAGGACGCAGAUCGUUUACUGUGAAAAAAUUAGAGUGUUCAAAGCAGGCCGUACGCUUGAAUACAUUAGCAUGGAAUAAUGGAAUAGGACGUCGGGCCUAUUUUGUUGGUUCUGGGACCGUAGUAAUGAUUGAUAGGGACAGUUGGGGGUGCUGCUAUUCCGCGGCCAGAGGUGAAAUUCUCAGAUUCCCGGAAGAGCAACUUAUGCGAAAGCAUUCACCAAGGAUGUCUUCUUUAA